This is a long non-coding RNA of Nymphalis io (European peacock), 267 nucleotides long. RefSeq lists it as uncharacterized. Lineage: Eukaryota; Metazoa; Arthropoda; Insecta; Lepidoptera; Nymphalidae. The transcript has 3 exons. The record is from RefSeq and is a predicted model, not a curated record.
GGCGUAGUGAGCAACGGGUGCAGCAGCGUAGUGAGCUACAGGUGCAGCAGCGUAGUGAGCUACAGGUGCAGCAGCGUAGUGAGCUACAGGUGCAGCAGCGUAGUGAGCUACAGGCGCAGCAGCGUAGUGGGCAACAGUGGCUUGAGGCUGAUCGUGACGUUGAAUGCUUUGCGAAGAUACAGCCGCGGCGGAAGAGUAAUGGACGGGAGAAGCCUGGUAGGCCACAGGUGAAGCGUGGUAUGCAACAGGUGCAGCGUGGUACGCUAC